This 477-nucleotide ribosomal RNA is filed under the name Bison bison (American bison). RNAcentral's name for it is "partial small subunit ribosomal RNA". It matches the Rfam family "Bacterial small subunit ribosomal RNA", at positions 9 to 832 of the family's 1533-position model. Lineage: Eukaryota; Metazoa; Chordata; Mammalia; Artiodactyla; Bovidae. The record is from RNAcentral.
CAUAGGUUUGGUCCCAGCGUUCCUGUUGACUCUUAAUAAACUUACACAUGCAAGCAUCUACACCCCAGUGAGAAUGCCCUCUAGGUUGUUAAAACUAAGAGGAGCUGGCAUCAAGCACACACCCCGUAGCUCACGACGCCUUGCUUAACCACACCCCCACGGGAAACAGCAGUGACAAAAAUUAAGCCAUAAACGAAAGUUUGACUAAGUUAUAUUAAUCAGGGUUGGUAAAUCUCGUGCCAGCCACCGCGGUCAUACGAUUAACCCAAGCCAACAGGAAUACGGCGUAAAACGUGUUAAAGCACCACAUCAAAUAGGGUUAAAUUUUAAUUAAGCUGUAAAAAGCCAUGAUUAAAAUAAAAAUAAAUGACGAAAGUAACCCUACAACAGCCGAUGCACUAUAGCUAAGACCCAAACUGGGAUUAGAUACCCCACUAUGCUUAGCCCUAAACACAGAUAAUUACAUAAACAAAAUUA